GAUGAACGCUGGCGGCGUGCCUAAUACAUGCAAGUCGAGCGAACGGACGAUAAGCUUGCUUCUCUGCUGUUAGCGGCUGACGGGUGAGUAACACGUAGAUAACCUACCUCUAAGACUGGGAUAACUUCGGGAAGCCGGAGCUAAUACCGGAUGAUAUUUUGAACCGCAUGGUUCAAAAGUUAUUGACGGUCUUGCUGUCUCUUAUAGAUGGAUCCGCGCUGCAUUAGCUAGUUGGUAAGGUAACGGCUUACCAAGGCAACGAUGCAUAGCCGACCUGAGAGGGUGAUCGGCCACACUGGAACUGAGACACGGUCCAGACUCCUACGGGAGGCAGCAGUAGGGAAUCUUCCGCAAUGGGCGAAAGCCUGACGGAGCAACGCCGCGUGAGUGAUGAAGGUCUUCGGAUCGUAAAACUCUGUUAUUAGGGAAGAACAGAUGUGUAAGUAACUGUGGACAUCUUGACGGUACCUAAUCAGAAAGCCACGGCUAACUACGUG
This 497-nucleotide ribosomal RNA is filed under the name uncultured bacterium. RNAcentral describes it as "partial 16S ribosomal RNA". It matches the Rfam family "Bacterial small subunit ribosomal RNA", at positions 28 to 507 of the family's 1533-position model. The record is from RNAcentral.